RNAcentral lists this microRNA (22 nucleotides) under Ixodes scapularis (black-legged tick). Its description in RNAcentral is "Isc-Mir-8_5p* (star (passenger))". The record is from RNAcentral. RNAcentral also lists the same sequence under 1 other name. Lineage: Eukaryota; Metazoa; Arthropoda; Arachnida; Ixodida; Ixodidae.
CAUCUUACCAGACAGCAUUAGA